AUAGUAUUCCUUCGUCCGAAAAUACUUGUCAUCAAAAUGGAUAAAAAGAGAUGUAUCUAGAACUAAGAUACAUCUAGAUACAUCCCCUUUUGUUCAUUUUGAUGACAAGUAUUUCCGGACGGAGGGAGUACUUG
This is a non-coding RNA of Triticum aestivum (bread wheat), 134 nucleotides long. The record is from Rfam. NCBI's taxonomy places the organism in Eukaryota, Viridiplantae, Streptophyta, Magnoliopsida, Poales, Poaceae.